AUACGGAGGAUUCGAGCGUUAUCCGGAAUUAUUGGGUUUAAAGGGUGCGCAGGCGGACCGUUAAGUCAGCGGUGAAAAUCUGGUGCUUAACAUCAGGAGUGCCGUUGAUACUGGCGGACUAGAGUAUGAUUGACGUAAGUGGAAUGUAGCAUGUAGCGGUGAAAUGCAUAGAGAUGCUACAGAACACCGAUAGCGAAGGCAGCUUACGAAGUCACAACUGACGCUCAGGCACGAAAGCGUGGGGAGCGAACAGGAUUAGAUACCCUGGUAGUCCACGCAGUAAACGAUGAUAACUGGCUUUUGGCGAUAGACGGUCAGAGGCUGAGAGAAAUCAAUAAGUUAUCCACCUGGGGAGUACGAUGGCAACAUUGAAACUCAAAGGAAUUGACGGG
This 392-nucleotide ribosomal RNA is filed under the name uncultured bacterium. RNAcentral describes it as "partial 16S ribosomal RNA". It matches the Rfam family "Bacterial small subunit ribosomal RNA", at positions 523 to 917 of the family's 1533-position model. The record is from RNAcentral.